UCUGGAUAAACUUGUAUUCAUCCAAGAGAAUGAAGCAAGUCACUUUACAGAAUUAGAAUAAGUAACACAUUUUGGGAUUGCCAAAGGCUUACAUAUAAGUGAAAUCCUUGAAUGACAGGAUAACCGUAUGUCCUUUAAUACAAUCUGUAUUAUAAAAAUAAUCUUGAAUAGCUUUAGAUAAGUUUUCAAGUUACGUUGAA
Molecule: non-coding RNA, 200 nt
Filed under: unclassified sequences
Description: IS605-orfB-I RNA
Rfam family: IS605-orfB-I RNA
Source: Rfam by way of RNAcentral